Non-coding RNA from Pteropus alecto (black flying fox), 126 nucleotides. The record is from Rfam. Lineage: Eukaryota; Metazoa; Chordata; Mammalia; Chiroptera; Pteropodidae.
UGGCGGCUGAACAAAAACAGAGCAGUAAGAUUUCCUGACUACAUUUUCUCAGGGCCAUCCACUGGGAGUUAAGCUGACUAACGCUGUGAAAGCCCAGCCCAUUUCGAUAACAGCAGGCAUGGCAGG